UCCCGAAUCUGUAGUAGGCAAGCGUAUUAACAGGGGUGACGCAGGAAGGUAGCCGAGCGUGGCGAUGGUUGUCCACGUUUAAGGGUGUAGGGCGAGCUGUAGGCAAAUCCGCAGCUCACAUAGCCUGAGACCUGAUGAUGACCUCUUAAGAGGGAAAUCGGUGAUCCUAUGCUGCCAAGAAAAACCUCGGCGCGAGGUUCUAGCCGCCCGUACCCCAAACCGACUCAGGUGGUCAGGUAGAGAAUACUAAGGCGAUCGAGUGAAUCGUGGUUAAGGAACUCGGCAAAAUGCCCCCGUAACUUCGGGAGAAGGGGGGCCUGAGGCGUGACGGAAUUUACUUCCAGAGCGUUUGAGGGCCGCAGAGACCAGAGAGAAGCGACUGUUUACUAAAAACACAGGUCCGUGCGAAGUCGCAAGACGAUGUAUACGGACUGACGCCUGCCCGGUGCUGGAAGGUUAAGAGGAAGGGUCAGCCAUUAGGCGAAGCUCUGAAUUUAAGCCCCAGUAAACGGCGGUGGUAACUAUAACCAUCCUAAGGUAGCGAAAUUCCUUGUCGGGUAAGUUCCGACCUGCACGAAUGGCGUAACGACUUCUCUGCUGUCUCAACCGCGAACUCGGCGAAAUUGCAUUACGAGUAAAGAUGCUCGUUACGCGCAGCAGGACGGAAAGACCCCCGGGACCUUUACUAUAGCUUGGUAUUGGUAUUCGGUGUGGUCUGUGUAGGAUAGGUGGGAGACUUUGAAGCCGAUACGCCAGUAUUGGUGGAGUCAUCGUUGAAAUACCACUCUGAUCACUCUGGAUAUCUAACCUCGGUCCGUAAUCCGGAUCAGGGACAGUGCCUGGUGGGUAGUUUAACUGGGGCGGUUGCCUCCCAAAAAGUAACGGAGGCGCCCAAAGGUUCCCUCAGCCUGGUUGGCAAUCAGGUGGCGAGUGCAAGUGCACAAGGGAGCUUGACUGUGAGACUGACAGGUCGAGCAGGGACGAAAGUCGGGACUAGUGACCCGCUGGUGGCAAGUGGAAGCGCCAGCGCUCAACGGAUAAAAGGUACCCCGGGGAUAACAGGCUGAUCCUGCCCAAGAGUCCAUAUCGACGGCAUGGUUUGGCACCUCGAUGUCGGCUCGUCGCAUCCUGGGGCUGGAGUUGGUCCCAAGGGUUGGGCUGUUCGCCCAUUAAAGCGGUACGCGAGCUGGGUUUAGAACGUCGUGAGACAGUUCGGUCCCUAUCCGCUGCGCGCGCAGGAAAUUUGAGAAAGGCUGCCCCUAGUACGAGAGGACCGGGGUGGACUAACCUCUGGUGUGCCAGUUGUUCCGCCAGGAGCACGGCUGGUUGGCUACGUUGGGAAGGGAUAACCGCUGAAAGCAUCUAAGCGGGAAGCCUGUUUCAAGAUGAGAUUUCCACGGGCUUCGGCCCGAGAGGCCCCAGGUAGACCACCUGGUUGAUAGGCCGGAUGUGGAAGAGGGGACUAAAGACCCUUGAAGCUGACCGGUACUAAUAGGCCGAUAACUUGAC
Molecule: ribosomal RNA, 1509 nt
Filed under: metagenome
Description: bacterial LSU rRNA
Rfam family: Bacterial large subunit ribosomal RNA
Source: RNAcentral